CGUAAUAAUAGAAACUAACCAGGAUUCCCUUAGUAACGGCGAGUGAACUGGGAUGCCAAUAUAUAAUAUGUACCUCGCGUGCAUAAAUUAGCCCGUCGAUACUAUCCYAGCGUAUGUCACCGGUCUUCGGGUCGGUACUCAAAUACRCGGGAAUUGUAGCAUCGUAAUAAUUAAAAAUAUACAGCACGCACACACACACACACACACAUAAGAACCCACGCCAACAUGCGUACACCACUUGUAAACACACAGCGUCUCCGCGUUGGAAAGCAAGUAUAUAUCCUCUUUGGAUAUGCCAUAGAGUGUGACAGCCACGUUUCACCCAUAUGAUAGUUACGCACACACACACACACAUACACCAAUGGCGCGGCGUGCGAGUGCACAACGUAUAUAUACUAUAACCUGAGUCGAGUUAUUU
RNAcentral lists this ribosomal RNA (418 nucleotides) under Ammonia sp. 162. Its description in RNAcentral is "partial 28S ribosomal RNA". The record is from RNAcentral. Lineage: Eukaryota; Foraminifera; Rotaliida; Rotaliidae.